This 773-nucleotide ribosomal RNA is filed under the name uncultured bacterium. RNAcentral's name for it is "bacterial SSU rRNA". It matches the Rfam family "Bacterial small subunit ribosomal RNA", at positions 103 to 861 of the family's 1533-position model. The record is from RNAcentral.
UGGGUGAGUAACACGUGGGGAACCUGCCCCUACCUUUAGGAUACCAUUUGGAAACAGGUGCUAAUACCGGAUAAUAAAACAGAUCGCAUGAUCAGCUUUUGAAAGGCGGCCCAAGCUGUCGCUAAGGGAUGGCCCCGCGGUGCAUUAGCUAGUUGGUAAGGUAACGGCUUACCAAGGCGACGAUGCAUAGCCGAGUUGAGAGACUGAUCGGCCACAUUGGGACUGAGACACGGCCCAAACUCCUACGGGAGGCAGCAGUAGGGAAUCUUCCACAAUGGACGCAAGUCUGAUGGAGCAACGCCGCGUGAGUGGAGAAGGUUUUCGGAUCGUAAAGCUCUGUUGUUGGUGAAGAAGGAUAGAGGUAGUAACUGGCCUUUAUUUGACGGUAAUCAACCAGAAAGUCACGGCUAACUACGUGCCAGCAGCCGCGGUAAUACGUAGGUGGCAAGCGUUGUCCGGAUUUAUUGGGCGUAAAGCGAGCGCAGGCGGAAAAAUAAGUCUAAUGUGAAAGCCCUCGGCUUAACCGAGGAACUGCAUCGGAAACUGUUUUUCUUGAGUGCAGAAGAGGAGAGUGGAACUCCAUGUGUAGCGGUGGAAUGCGUAGAUAUAUGGAAGAACACCAGUGGCGAAGGCGGCUCUCUGGUCUGCAACUGACGCUGAGGCUCGAAAGCAUGGGUAGCGAACAGGAUUAGAUACCCUGGUAGUCCAUGCCGUAAACGAUGAGUGCUAAGUGUUGGGAGGUUUCCGCCUCUCAGUGCUGCAGCUAACGCAUU